GUGAGGUGAUAUGAACCGUUAUAACCGGCGAUUUCCGAAUGGGGAAACCCAGUGUGUUUCGACACACUAUCAUUAACUGAAUCCAUAGGUUAAUGAGGCGAACCGGGGGAACUGAAACAUCUAAGUACCCCGAGGAAAAGAAAUCAACCGAGAUUCCCCCAGUAGCGGCGAGCGAACGGGGAGGAGCCCAGAGCCUGAAUCAGUGUGUGUGUUAGUGGAAGCGUCUGGAAAGGCGCGCGAUACAGGGUGACAGCCCCGUACACAAAAAUGCACAUAUUGUGAGCUCGAUGAGUAGGGCGGGACACGUGGUAUCCUGUCUGAAUAUGGGGGGACCAUCCUCCAAGGCUAAAUACUCCUGACUGACCGAUAGUGAACCAGUACCGUGAGGGAAAGGCGAAAAGAACCCCGGCGAGGGGAGUGAAAAAGAACCUGAAACCGUGUACGUACAAGCAGUGGGAGCCUCUUAAUGGGGUGACUGCGUACCUUUUGUAUAAUGGGUCAGCGACUUAUAUUCUGUAGCAAGGUUAACCGAAUAGGGGAGCCGAAGGGAAACCGAGUCUUAACUGGGCGUUAAGUUGCAGGGUAUAGACCCGAAACCCGGUGAUCUAGCCAUGGGCAGGUUGAAGGUUGGGUAACACUAACUGGAGGACCGAACCGACUAAUGUUGAAAAAUUAGCGGAUGACUUGUGGCUGGGGGUGAAAGGCCAAUCAAACCGGGAGAUAGCUGGUUCUCCCCGAAAGCUAUUUAGGUAGCGCCUCGUGAAUUCAUCUCCGGGGGUAGAGCACUGUUUCGGCAAGGGGGUCAUCCCGACUUACCAACCCGAUGCAAACUGCGAAUACCGGAGAAUGUUAUCACGGGAGACACACGGCGGGUGCUAACGUCCGUCGUGAAGAGGGAAACAACCCAGACCGCCAGCUAAGGUCCCAAAGUCAUGGUUAAGUGGGAAACGAUGUGGGAAGGCCCAGACAGCCAGGAUGUUGGCUUAGAAGCAGCCAUCAUUUAAAGAAAGCGUAAUAGCUCACUGGUCGAGUCGGCCUGCGCGGAAGAUGUAACGGGGCUAAACCAUGCACCGAAGCUGCGGCAGCGACACUAUGUGUUGUUGGGUAGGGGAGCGUUCUGUAAGCCUGUGAAGGUGUACUGUGAGGUAUGCUGGAGGUAUCAGAAGUGCGAAUGCUGACAUAAGUAACGAUAAAGCGGGUGAAAAGCCCGCUCGCCGGAAGACCAAGGGUUCCUGUCCAACGUUAAUCGGGGCAGGGUGAGUCGACCCCUAAGGCGAGGCCGAAAGGCGUAGUCGAUGGGAAACAGGUUAAUAUUCCUGUACUUGGUGUUACUGCGAAGGGGGGACGGAGAAGGCUAUGUUGGCCGGGCGACGGUUGUCCCGGUUUAAGCGUGUAGGCUGGUUUUCCAGGCAAAUCCGGAAAAUCAAGGCUGAGGCGUGAUGACGAGGCACUACGGUGCUGAAGCGACAAAUGCCCUGCUUCCAGGAAAAGCCUCUAAGCAUCAGGUAACAUCAAAUCGUACCCCAAACCGACACAGGUGGUCAGGUAGAGAAUACCAAGGCGCUUGAGAGAACUCGGGUGAAGGAACUAGGCAAAAUGGUGCCGUAACUUCGGGAGAAGGCACGCUGAUAUGUAGGUGAAGCGACUUGCUCGUGGAGCUGAAAUCAGUCGAAGAUACCAGCUGGCUGCAACUGUUUAUUAAAAACACAGCACUGUGCAAACACGAAAGUGGACGUAUACGGUGUGACGCCUGCCCGGUGCCGGAAGGUUAAUUGAUGGGGUUAGCGGUAACGCGAAGCUCUUGAUCGAAGCCCCGGUAAACGGCGGCCGUAACUAUAACGGUCCUAAGGUAGCGAAAUUCCUUGUCGGGUAAGUUCCGACCUGCACGAAUGGCGUAAUGAUGGCCAGGCUGUCUCCACCCGAGACUCAGUGAAAUUGAACUCGCUGUGAAGAUGCAGUGUACCCGCGGCAAGACGGAAAGACCCCGUGAACCUUUACUAUAGCUUGACACUGAACAUUGAGCCUUGAUGUGUAGGAUAGGUGGGAGGCUUUGAAGUGUGGACGCCAGUCUGCAUGGAGCCGACCUUGAAAUACCACCCUUUAAUGUUUGAUGUUCUAACGUGGGCCCCUUACCGGGGUUGCGGACAGUGUCUGGUGGGUAGUUUGACUGGGGCGGUCUCCUCCUAAAGAGUAACGGAGGAGCACGAAGGUUGGCUAAUCCUGGUCGGACAUCAGGAGGUUAGUGCAAUGGCAUAAGCCAGCUUGACUGCGAGCGUGACGGCGCGAGCAGGUGCGAAAGCAGGUCAUAGUGAUCCGGUGGUUCUGAAUGGAAGGGCCAUCGCUCAACGGAUAAAAGGUACUCCGGGGAUAACAGGCUGAUACCGCCCAAGAGUUCAUAUCGACGGCGGUGUUUGGCACCUCGAUGUCGGCUCAUCACAUCCUGGGGCUGAAGUAGGUCCCAAGGGUAUGGCUGUUCGCCAUUUAAAGUGGUACGCGAGCUGGGUUUAGAACGUCGUGAGACAGUUCGGUCCCUAUCUGCCGUGGGCGCUGGAGAACUGAGGGGGGCUGCUCCUAGUACGAGAGGACCGGAGUGGACGCAUCACUGGUGUUCGGGUUGUCAUGCCAAUGGCACUGCCCGGUAGCUAAAUGCGGAAGAGAUAAGUGCUGAAAGCAUCUAAGCACGAAACUUGCCCCGAGAUGAGUUCUCCCUGACUCCUUGAGAGUCCUGAAGGAACGUUGAAGACGACGACGUUGAUA
This 2757-nucleotide ribosomal RNA is filed under the name Escherichia coli. Its description in RNAcentral is "23S ribosomal RNA". It matches the Rfam family "Bacterial large subunit ribosomal RNA". The record is from RNAcentral. Lineage: Bacteria; Pseudomonadati; Pseudomonadota; Gammaproteobacteria; Enterobacterales; Enterobacteriaceae.